GGUUUUGGCUGGUGGUGCGCCACCUAUAAAAGAAGCAUCAUUGAUUUCAAUUACUACAGUUGGCAUUACCUAUUACCACCCACAGAACACCAUUGCUGUUAUCAUGUUCAGUUUGAUAAAGGGUCCAUACACUUCAAGUUACCCCCAAAAUGUGGGUCAUGUUGACCAUGGCACAAUUAAGGAGGAGAAAUAUAAGACCUCAUGCAAUUGCAUUUACCUUUCAGAUUUGCCCCCUGAUUAAAUACAGAAUGAAUACGAUGAGAAACAUGGGACCUUCAAGAGAAGAGCAAUAUUUUGAUAAGUUUAAUAAGGAUGCCUCAAGGUCUUGAAAUGUCAUACUUAUUCUGAACAGACCAUAAGAGUCAGAUUAUAGAACAAUGCAUUUACAGAAGUUCAGCAUGAAGGAAUCCAACUUUUAUCUCAUGGGAGGGUAUUUAAAAUUUUUUACAUAUCUGGUCAAAUACAGUUUAUUUAUAAAUAGAAAGCCACAUGCUCAUGUUUUGCAAAUCCAAUUGCCCUUCAAAUGCUUACUGUUCAUUGA
This 541-nucleotide unclassified non-coding RNA is filed under the name Hevea brasiliensis (rubber tree). The record is from RNAcentral. Lineage: Eukaryota; Viridiplantae; Streptophyta; Magnoliopsida; Malpighiales; Euphorbiaceae.